Molecule: long non-coding RNA, 773 nt
Organism: Entelurus aequoreus (snake pipefish)
Lineage: Eukaryota; Metazoa; Chordata; Actinopteri; Syngnathiformes; Syngnathidae
Exons: 3
Source: RefSeq, a predicted model, not a curated record
GCUCGAGUUUAAAAACAAAACAGCACUGGGUAUGGACUUGUUUGUGCAGAAUUUUUCACCUCAGGAGAUGUUAAGAGAAAACUGAUUACACAAAUGAAAAAAAAAGCUUUUGGUGAGACAUUUUAAACGCGAUCCUUACCUUAUGGUCCACUAUAGAGCACACCAGGUCCUUGACAGCCGAAAGCGACAGGUCACUGGCCUCCAGGUUGACUGUCUCCCUUGUCAGUCCAAUCUGCAGCAGGAAGGACACCCCAUGGAAAGAGCUACGAGAAUUGGUGGGGCUCGGGGCAUCGUGGCUUCCGUUGGACAGCCGUGUGUAGAGCGGUCCAACCGGGGAAGGGGACAGAAUGGCUGGCAAGGUCGGAUGGUGCGGAUGGAGAGAGUGGAGGUAGGCUCGAGCUGACCCGCAGAAGGCCUCGUAGUCCACGAGCUGCGUUACACUGGGCUUCUCACCACACACUGCACAACCCGACUGCUUGGGACGCAACCGGAUGGAUCUGAAUCUGGCACUUUGAGCGUCAAAGAUUACCAGCCUGUGCAUCGGUUGGGGACAUCUCUGCGCUGCUGACCCGUCUCCGCUCGGGAUGGUUUCCUGUUGGCCCCGCUGUGGACUGGACUCCCGCUGAUGUGUUGGAUCCACUGUGGACUGGACUUUCACAAUGUUAUGUCAGACCCACUCGACAUCCGUUGCUUUCGGUCUCCCCUAGAGGGGGGGGGUUACCCACAUAUGCGGUCCUCUCCAAGGUUUCUCAUAGUCAUUCACCGACGUCCCA